This 479-nucleotide ribosomal RNA is filed under the name uncultured bacterium. Its description in RNAcentral is "partial 16S ribosomal RNA". It matches the Rfam family "Bacterial small subunit ribosomal RNA", at positions 28 to 507 of the family's 1533-position model. The record is from RNAcentral.
GAUGAACGCUAGCGGGAGGCCUAACACAUGCCAGCCGAGCGGUAGAGUUUCUUCGGAAACUUGAGAGCGGCGCACGGGUGCGUAACACGUGUGCAACCUACCUUUAUCUGGGGGAUAGCCUUUCGAAAGGAAGAUUAAUACCCCAUAAUAUAAUGAUUGGCAUCAAUUAUUAUUGAAAACUCCGGUGGAUAGAGAUGGGCACGCGCAAGAUUAGAUAGUUGGUGAGGUAACGGCUCACCAAGUCAAUGAUCUUUAGGGGUCCUGAGAGGGAGAUCCCCCACACUGGUACUGAGACACGGACCAGACUCCUACGGGAGGCAGCAGUGAGGAAUAUUGGACAAUGGGUGAGAGCCUGAUCCAGCCAUCCCGCGUGAAGGAGGACGGCCCUAUGGAUUGUAAACUUCUUUUGUACAGGGAUAAACCUACCCUCGUGAGGGUAGCUGAAGGUACUGUACGAAUAAGCACCGGCUAACUCCGUG